Molecule: ribosomal RNA, 1016 nt
Filed under: uncultured bacterium
Lineage: Bacteria
Description: bacterial SSU rRNA
Rfam family: Bacterial small subunit ribosomal RNA
Source: RNAcentral
AGGAAUAUUGGUCAAUGGGCGAGAGCCUGAACCAGCCAAGUAGCGUGAAGGAUGACUGCCCUAUGGGUUGUAAACUUCUUUUAUAAAGGAAUAAAGUCGGGUAUGCAUACCCGUUUGCAUGUACUUUAUGAAUAAGGAUCGGCUAACUCCGUGCCAGCAGCCGCGGUAAUACGGAGGAUCCGAGCGUUAUCCGGAUUUAUUGGGUUUAAAGGGAGCGUAGAUGGAUGUUUAAGUCAGUUGUGAAAGUUUGCGGCUCAACCGUAAAAUUGCAGUUGAUACUGGAUAUCUUGAGUGCAGUUGAGGCAGGCGGAAUUCGUGGUGUAGCGGUGAAAUGCUUAGAUAUCACGAAGAACUCCGAUUGCGAAGGCAGCCUGCUAAGCUGCAACUGACAUUGAGGCUCGAAAGUGUGGGUAUCAAACAGGAUUAGAUACCCUGGUAGUCCACACGGUAAACGAUGAAUACUCGCUGUUUGCGAUAUACGGCAAGCGGCCAAGCGAAAGCGUUAAGUAUUCCACCUGGGGAGUACGCCGGCAACGGUGAAACUCAAAGGAAUUGACGGGGGCCCGCACAAGCGGAGGAACAUGUGGUUUAAUUCGAUGAUACGCGAGGAACCUUACCCGGGCUUAAAUUGCAGAUGAAUUACGGUGAAAGCCGUAAGCCGCAAGGCAUCUGUGAAGGUGCUGCAUGGUUGUCGUCAGCUCGUGCCGUGAGGUGUCGGCUUAAGUGCCAUAACGAGCGCAACCCUUGUUGUCAGUUACUAACAGGUCAUGCUGAGGACUCUGACAAGACUGCCAUCGUAAGAUGUGAGGAAGGUGGGGAUGACGUCAAAUCAGCACGGCCCUUACGUCCGGGGCUACACACGUGUUACAAUGGGGGGUACAGAGGGCCGCUACCACGCGAGUGGAUGCCAAUCCCAAAAACCUCUCUCAGUUCGGACUGGAGUCUGCAACCCGACUCCACGAAGCUGGAUUCGCUAGUAAUCGCGCAUCAGCCACGGCGCGGUGAAUACGUUCCCG